UACUACCGAAGCUACGGCAUCAGUAAUGAUGGGUAGGGGAGCUUCCCAUACGGGUUGAAGCAUGACCGUAAGGACAUGUGGACAGUAUGGGAGUGAGAAUGUUGGCAUGAGUAGCGAGAUGUGGGUGAGAAUCCCACAGGCCGUAAACCCAAGGUUUCCAGGGGAAGGUUCGUCCGCCCUGGGUUAGUCGGGACCUAAGCUGAGGCCGAAAGGCGUAGGGGAUGGACAACAGGUUGAUAUUCCUGUACUACCGAUAACCGUUUGAGAGAAGGGAUGACACAGUAGGAUAAGCUAAGCACACUGUUGGUUAUGUGUGCCCAAGCAGUGAGGCAGUCAAAGUAGGCAAAUCCGCUUUGAUAAUGCUGGGAUGUGAUGGGGAGCGAAAUUUAGUAGCGAAGUAGCUGAUUUCACACUGUCAAGAAAAGUCUCUAUCGAGGUUAAAGGUACCCGUACCGCAAACCGACACAGG
This 469-nucleotide ribosomal RNA is filed under the name Clostridioides difficile. RNAcentral's name for it is "bacterial LSU rRNA". It matches the Rfam family "Bacterial large subunit ribosomal RNA", at positions 1189 to 1663 of the family's 2925-position model. Lineage: Bacteria; Bacillati; Bacillota; Clostridia; Peptostreptococcales; Peptostreptococcaceae. The record is from RNAcentral.